UACAGAGGGUGCUAGCGUUGUUCGGAAUUAUUGGGCGUAAAGGGCGCGUAGGCGGUGCGGUAAGUCACCUGUGAAAUCUCCUGGCUCAACUGGGAGCUUGCAGGCGAAACUGCCGUGCUGGAGUGUGGGAGAGGUGCGUGGAAUUCCUGGUGUAGCGGUGAAAUGCGUGGAUAUCAGGAGGAACACCUGUGGCGAAAGCGGCGCACUGGACCACAACUGACGCUGAGGCGCGAAAGCUAGGGGAGCAAACAGG
RNAcentral lists this ribosomal RNA (253 nucleotides) under uncultured bacterium. RNAcentral's name for it is "partial 16S ribosomal RNA". It matches the Rfam family "Bacterial small subunit ribosomal RNA", at positions 524 to 776 of the family's 1533-position model. The record is from RNAcentral.